GACGAACGCUGGCGGCGCGCCUAACACAUGCAAGUCGAACGGAGCUGCGAGAAGCUUGCUUUUCUUAGCUUAGUGGCGAACGGGUGAGUAACGCGUGAGUAACCUGCCCUGGAGUGGGGGACAACAGUUGGAAACGACUGCUAAUACCGCAUAAGCCCACGAUCCGGCAUCGGAUUGAGGGAAAAGGAUUUAUUCGCUUCAGGAUGGACUCGCGCCCACUUAGCUAGUUGGUGGGGUAACGGCCCACCAAGGCGACAAUUGGUAGCCGGACUGAGAGGUUGAGCGGCCACAUUGGGACGGAGCCACGGCCCGGACUCCUACGGGAGGCAGCAGUGGGGGAUAUUGCACAAUGGCGGAAACGCUGAUGCAGCUACGCCGCGAGGAGGAAGAAGGUUUUCGGAUUGUAAACUCCUGUCGUUAGGGACGAUAAUGACGGUACCUAACAAGAAAGCACCGGCUAACUACGUG
This 468-nucleotide ribosomal RNA is filed under the name uncultured bacterium. Its description in RNAcentral is "partial 16S ribosomal RNA". It matches the Rfam family "Bacterial small subunit ribosomal RNA", at positions 28 to 507 of the family's 1533-position model. The record is from RNAcentral.